GUGGGGAAUUUUGGACAAUGGGCGAAAGCCUGAUCCAGCCAUUCCGCGUGCAGGAUGAAGGCCCUCGGGUUGUAAACUGCUUUUGUACAGAACGAAAAAGCUCCGGCUAAUACCUGGAGUCCAUGACGGUACUGUAAGAAUAAGCACCGGCUAACUACGUGCCAGAAGCCGCGGUAAUACGUAGGGUGCAAGCGUUAAUCGGAAUUACUGGGCGUAAAGCGUGCGCAGGCGGUUUUGUAAGACAGAGGUGAAAUCCCCGGGCUCAACCGGGGAACUGCCGUUGUGACUGCAAGGCUGGAGUGCGGCAGAGGGGGAUGGAAUUCCGCGUGUAGCAGUGAAAUGCGUAGAUAUGCGGAGGAACACCGAUGGCGAAGGCAAUCCCCUGGGCCUGCACUGACGCUCAUGCACGAAAGCGUGGGGAGCAAACAGGAUUAGAAACCCCAGUAGUCC
Molecule: ribosomal RNA, 450 nt
Filed under: uncultured bacterium
Lineage: Bacteria
Description: partial 16S ribosomal RNA
Rfam family: Bacterial small subunit ribosomal RNA
Source: RNAcentral